UUAAACGGCACACCUGCGCUCACAUUUCUUAUAGUAGCACACUAAUAAAAGUGUGGCACGGGAACUCAGACGGUCGUUUAUACCUUAAAACCACAGAUAUGUAAUAUAUAGAUAUAACGUAUAUUUAUAUCUUUAUAUAUACAUGUAAAAUGAACUGUCUGAGUUCGAAUAAAUGAAUAACGUGGUGAAGUUUAUCUAGUUAGACCGUGGUAAAACCCCACCUGUUCUACCGUUGUCUCGAGCGGCUUUCCAGACUCGACGUGACGUCACACACGCCGUAUCCCGAGCGCUCCCCCCCUCCACCUCUGAGCGCGUGGUCCUGGUCGCGAGCACAUGGAAGUGAGGUUUGAGAUUUGUGUCUGAGAGACGUUCGAGCGACUGUCGGGAAAACGGAAUAUAAAGUGAAUUAAAGAAGCAGCCCGAGCAGCCCGGAAGCGCUCUCUCAGCCCGCUGGCUUUCCUCUGCAGCAGCUGUCGGUCAGCGUCAGUUGGUGUAUCUCGGAAACACAGAUCGCUAAUGAGGCUGGAGCUCUCGAGGACUGCCUGGCCCUGAACUCAGCAUCACACGGUGCUAAGUGACGAGGAUCCCCUGCUGCACCCAGGGAGGGUUAUGCAUCUAAAACGUGAAUAUUAUAUACGUCACGUCGAAUCAGGAGACGGGUGCUCUCAUCUGCAGCUUGAGCUGUCUGGCUUUGAGAUCUCGCUGUGCUCGGGGUGGUCCUGCAAACUCAGGAAAGUCCAGGUACGAUUUGAUUAAUGUGGGUUUUGGCUCGUCUGGACAGAAACAUCAGCAAGGACACUGUGGACGUAAAAUGCUUCUGCUGCUGCUGCUGUGAUGGUGGUGUUGCAGACCCCCCAUGCAGGCCAGAUCUUUCUGCAGCUUCUGCACCGACACAUGAUCUGACUAGGAAGGAUGCAAAGGUGGAAGCAGACCGUGCUGGAUUUAGUUUCACAGCAUCUUACUGGAGCAAACGCACACAACAUACUGCAAGGUUUUCAGUAGUAUCUACUUCCCCCUUUUUUUUUCUUUUUUUUGUUUGAGAGGACACGGAUACACCCUGACUGGGCCCCUGUAGUGCUCUACAUUGUGGUUGGGAAGUACCUAGUUUUACAACUGUCAUGCUGGCCUGCUUAAAGGGACAGUGCUGAUCAAUUCGAAGCACAUAUUCAGGGGUCUUUUAGUCACCCUAACAAGGGGGUCACAUGGAUGUUUGAGUCGUCAUUCCUCAUGUGAGGAAUGUGCAGUCCGAAGAGCCGCUUUCUGCAUCAAGCACUGCAUAAAAAUACUGAUUGAUAUUUGUUAAAAGAAUGUCUUUAAUAAAAAGUUGAAUUGAAUUGGGUGUGAGAGUUUCCUGCUUUUGAAAAACGAAAGAGAGAAGACUCACAACUCUACAGGUUCUUUUUAGUCUGAAUGCAUAGUGGAUUUGUUUU
Oreochromis aureus is the source of this 1430-nucleotide long non-coding RNA. Lineage: Eukaryota; Metazoa; Chordata; Actinopteri; Cichliformes; Cichlidae. The record is from Ensembl.